This 120-nucleotide ribosomal RNA is filed under the name Candidatus Roizmanbacteria bacterium RIFCSPHIGHO2_12_FULL_41_11. RNAcentral also lists the same sequence under 1 other name. The record is from RNAcentral. Lineage: Bacteria; Candidatus Roizmaniibacteriota.
CUUGGUUACUUGAGCGGUUCGGAACCACCCUUUCCCAUCCCGAACAAGGUCGUGAAACGAACCAGCGCCGACGAUACUCACUCCAAAUCGGAGAAUGGGGAAACUAGGUCGUAGCCGAGA